UUCCGGAAUCAGGUUUCGAACCUGGAACCCUCCGGAAUUGAAGCCCAAACUUACCACUAGGCCACCGCGGU
Molecule: non-coding RNA, 71 nt
Organism: Araneus ventricosus
Lineage: Eukaryota; Metazoa; Arthropoda; Arachnida; Araneae; Araneidae
Source: the annotation of a GenBank genome assembly